Molecule: non-coding RNA, 151 nt
Organism: Chelonoidis abingdonii (Abingdon island giant tortoise)
Lineage: Eukaryota; Metazoa; Chordata; Testudines; Testudinidae
Source: RefSeq, a predicted model, not a curated record
UAGAAAGACACCUUCUAAAAACAUUAACAUAUAUUACUGGCAUGCAAAACCUUAAAUUAGAGUGAAUCAAGGAAGACUCGGCGCACCGUGUCUGAAAGGUUGCCGACCCCUGUUCUAAUCCAUGACAGUUUUGCCCCAAAGUCCCAGGCAG